AUGGGCAGAUCAUACCGGCCUAGCGCAGCUGACUCGUUGYGAUGACACCGGAGUUAAAAAGGGCCUCUAAACAAAACAUGUAUGGUGCGAUCAUACCAGUACUAAUGCAUCGGAUCCCAUYAGAACUCUGCAAUUAAGCGUGCUUGUGCUAGAGUAGUACUAGGAAGGGUGACCCCUUGGGAAGUCCUCGUGUUGCACCCAUUGGUGCGAUCAUUCCAGCACUAAG
Molecule: ribosomal RNA, 226 nt
Filed under: Calamus reticulatus
Lineage: Eukaryota; Viridiplantae; Streptophyta; Magnoliopsida; Arecales; Arecaceae
Source: RNAcentral